CUAUACAUGCAGUCGAGCGGACCGACGGGAGCUUGCUCCCUUAGGUCAGCGGCGGACGGGUGAGUAACACGUGGGUAACCUGCCUGUAAGACUGGGAUAACUCCGGGAAACCGGGGCUAAUACCGGAUGCUUGAUUGAACCGCAUGGUUCAAUCAUAAAAGGUGGCUUUUAGCUACCACUUACAGAUGGACCCGCGGCGCAAUAGCUAGUUGGUGAGGUAACGGCUCACCAAGGCGACGAUGCGUAGCCGACCUGAGAGGGUGAUCGGCCACACUGGGACUGAGACACGGCCCAGACUCCUACGGGAGGCAGCAGUAGGGAAUCUUCCGCAAUGGACGAAAGUCUGACGGAGCAACGCCGCGUGAGUGAUGAAGGUUUUCGGAUCGUAAAACUCUGUUGUUAGGGAAGAACAAGUACCGUUCGAAUAGGGCGGUACCUUGACGGUACCUAACCAGAAAGCCACGGCUAACUACGUGCCAGCAGCCGCGGUAAUACGUAGGUGGCAAGCGUUGUCCGGAAUUAUUGGGCGUAAAGCGCGCGCAGGCGGUUUCUUAAGUCUGAUGUGAAAGCCCCCGGCUCAACCGGGGAGGGUCAUUGGAAACUGGGGAACUUGAGUGCAGAAGAGGAGAGUGGAAUUCCACGUGUAGCGGUGAAAUGCGUAGAGAUGUGGAGGAACACCAGUGGCGAAAGCGACUCUCUGGUCUGUAACUGACGCUGAAGCGCGAAAGCGUGGGGAGCGAACAGGAUUAGAUACCCUGGUAGUCCACGCCGUAAACGAUGAGUGCUAAGUGUUAGAGGGUUUCCGCCCUUUAGUGCUGCAG
RNAcentral lists this ribosomal RNA (821 nucleotides) under Bacillus licheniformis. RNAcentral describes it as "bacterial SSU rRNA". It matches the Rfam family "Bacterial small subunit ribosomal RNA", at positions 49 to 851 of the family's 1533-position model. The record is from RNAcentral. Lineage: Bacteria; Bacillati; Bacillota; Bacilli; Caryophanales; Bacillaceae.